Molecule: ribosomal RNA, 589 nt
Filed under: Talaromyces atroroseus
Lineage: Eukaryota; Fungi; Ascomycota; Eurotiomycetes; Eurotiales; Trichocomaceae
Description: partial large subunit ribosomal RNA
Rfam family: Eukaryotic large subunit ribosomal RNA
Source: RNAcentral
AGACCGGGGCAUGAUCAGUACGGCGAGUGAAGCGGCAAGAGCUCAAAUUUGAAAUCUGGCCCCUCCGGGGUCCGAGUUGUAAUUUGGAGAGGAUGCUUCGGGCUCGGUCCCCAUCUAAGUGCCCCUGGAACGGGCUGUCAUAGAGGGUGAGAAUCCCGUAUGGGAUGGGCGGCCGUGCCCGUGUGAAGCUCCUUCGACGAGUCGAGUUGUUUGGGAAUGCAGCUCUAAGCGGGUGGUAAAUUUCAUCUAAAGCUAAAUACUGGCCGGAGACCGAUAGCGCACAAGUAGAGUGAUCGAAAGAUGAAAAGCACUUUGAAAAGAGAGUUAAACAGCACGUGAAAUUGUUGAAAGGGAAGCGUUGGCCACCAGACGCGCCCGGGGGGGCUCAGCCGGCACGUGUGCCGGUGUACUCCCCCCCGGACGGGUCAGCAUCGGUUUGGGCGGUCGCUGAAAGGCUCUGGGAAUGUAGCACCCUCCGGGGUGCCUUAUAGCCCAGGGUGUCAUGCGGCCCGCCUGGACCGAGGUUCGCGCUUCGGCGAGGAUGCUGGCGUAAUGGUGGUCAACGGCCCGUCUUGAAACGGGAACAAAA